RNAcentral lists this ribosomal RNA (460 nucleotides) under uncultured bacterium. RNAcentral's name for it is "partial 16S ribosomal RNA". It matches the Rfam family "Bacterial small subunit ribosomal RNA", at positions 338 to 795 of the family's 1533-position model. The record is from RNAcentral.
CCUACGGGAGGCAGCAGUGAGGAAUAUUGGUCAAUGGACGAGAGUCUGAACCAGCCAAGUAGCGUGAAGGAUGACUGCCCUAUGGGUUGUAAACUUCUUUUAUAUGGGAAUAAAAUGUUCCACGUGUGGGAUUUUGUAUGUACCAUAUGAAUAAGGAUCGGCUAACUCCGUGCCAGCAGCCGCGGUAAUACGGAGGAUCCGAGCGUUAUCCGGAUUUAUUGGGUUUAAAGGGAGCGUAGGUGGAUUGUUAAGUCAGUUGUGAAAGUUUGCGGCGCAACCGUAAAAUUGCAGUUGAAAAUGGCAGUCUGGAGUACAGUAGAGGUGGGCGGAAUUCGUGGUGUAGCGGUGAAAUGCUUAGAUAUCACGAAGAACUCCGAUUGCGAAGGCAGCUCACUGGACUGCAACUGACACUGAGGCUCGAAAGUGUGGGUAUCAAACAGGAUUAGAUACCCUAGUAGUC